GUGUCAGCCGCCGCGGUAAUACGUAGGUGGCAAGCGUUAUCCGGAAUUAUUGGGCGUAAAGCGCGCGCAGGUGGUUUCUUAAGUCUGAUGUGAAAGCCCACGGCUCAACCGUGGAGGGUCAUUGGAAACUGGGAGACUUGAGUGCAGAAGAGGAAAGUGGAAUUCCAUGUGUAGCGGAGGAAUGCGUGGCCAUAUGGAGAAAAACCAGUGGCGAAGGCGACUUUCUGG
RNAcentral lists this ribosomal RNA (228 nucleotides) under uncultured bacterium. Its description in RNAcentral is "partial 16S rRNA". It matches the Rfam family "Bacterial small subunit ribosomal RNA", at positions 505 to 732 of the family's 1533-position model. The record is from RNAcentral.